Long non-coding RNA from Nematostella vectensis (starlet sea anemone), 4552 nucleotides. RefSeq lists it as uncharacterized. The record is from RefSeq and is a predicted model, not a curated record. The transcript is spliced from 5 exons. NCBI's taxonomy places the organism in Eukaryota, Metazoa, Cnidaria, Anthozoa, Actiniaria, Edwardsiidae.
AAACUCCGUUUAAAAAAAGCGAAAACACCGGUUAAACAUAGCGAGAACACCUGGUAAACGCCUGUUAGCAGGCUUCUAGUUUUCAUCACACCUUUCUACGGUGGCCAAGAGUUCUCGUCGACCCCUCCAAACAUUUUGCCAAUUUACACAGGGAUCCCUAAGCAGGACCUGUUAUCCGACAUUGCCAUGUGUGGCAGCAACAUUGCGAAGAGGACAGGUAUUUUGGAGCUAUUUCCUCGGUAACUAUUAGUAAUUUCCUCCGGAAAGCAUCCAAGAAAUAUGUAAAGGAAGAUAGUGUGCACUGGGACAAGAGGACAUAAAGCCCUAUCUUGGGUAAAUUAAUGUGAGGUGUUUCUCCAAAGAAACCAUGACGAUUUCUUGGCAAGUUUCAAUGGGUAAUUUGGAAUAGGCUUCUUUAAAGGAGCUGAAAAUCAGUGGGAAGUGGAAUGGACAUCAUUUAAUUUUUUCAGUGGGAUGAUAGCACCCCGAGUCUUGCUGAGUGAAGAUCCAAAGGACCAUGUUAUCUAAAAUAUGGACACUUUUUGUUGAGAGUAUGUCUAUGAGUCACUAUUCAUUUGAGAGGGCUGUGCCACAGAAAGCAUGAUGAUAAAGUAUUAUGUUAGUAGGAAGAAUUGGAACAUGCCCCUUCUGUGUAAGGUUUUUGUAAAUUUAUAUUAAAGUAUAAAUUGCAAGUAUUUAUAAACAAAGAAUUAAUCCUACAAUUUACAAGCAGUUGCUCUUAGAACCAACAAUUGAAAUUCUUGGUGAGGAAAUAAGCAUACCCCCACUAUACAUGAUAUAGUGCUUACCAACUCAUAAGAACCCCUAUUUUUGUUAUUAAGCCUGACCUCAAGGUGUUUUAUGCAGGUUUUUCAAAAAGGUUCGUAUUGAUAUUAUUCACUUGUGUAACAGGGUGUGUAUAUUAAUUGAAAGGUUAUUCCUCAUGUAAUGAAAAUCAACAAAGUGUUCCCAAAUUAUUAAUAGCUCAAGUAUAUAUUCAAGUAUUAUGAUUUGUUUGUGUGGGUUUUUUUUUAUUUUUUCAAGUUUUUUUUUUAGGUUUAGGUAGGGGUAGGGUUUUCUACAAGAACCUGGGUUGAAAUACAUAUUUUUAGGUAACAUGUUCUAACAUGUUCUUAAACUCUUGUAAUGUUGUUAAGUACUAUAUGUGUUAUUGAAAGUUGAAUGUGUUACCUGUAAAGCUGUAGGUAUAAGGCAUAUGGCUGGUGUUAAAUUACGCGAUUUGUUGAAACAUUUACAUGUAAAGGGGGUGUCGAAGAUACUGACAGAGGCUGUGGUGUUGAAUGUAUGUAUACUUAUUUAUUUUUACUUAUUUAAGAUUUUUAAAUGUUUUUAAAUUAUUUGAAUUUAAAAAUUAUAUUAUUUUGGGGAGACAUGGAGUGAUAUAAAUAGAUGUUGAGUCACUUUAACUGGCUAUACCAAAAUGGGAUGGUUCUUGAGAUCUUCUGUCAUUGAAAUGUUUGUUGUUUUCAAAUUCUAAAAGACAAGAGAAAACAGUUGAUCAGCAUGAAGUCAUUUUUUUAAGAGGACCUGUAUAACCUAGAAAAUACAUGUGUAACCUACGUAACCUAUGUAUGCUCUUCUGUUUUACCGGACAACAAUCAUACAAACCCAGGCCUGUAUAACCUAGAAAAUACAUCUGUAACCUAUGUAACCUAUGUAUGCUCUUCUGUUUUACCGGACAACAAUCAUACAAACCCAGGCCUGUAUAACCUAGAAAAUACAUGUGUAACCUACGUAACCUAUGUAUGCUCUUCUGUUUUACCAGACAACAAUCAUACAAACCCAGGGCUGUAUAACCUAGAAAAUACAUCUGUAACCUACGUAACCUAUGUAUGCUCUUCUGUUUUACCGGACAACAAUCAUACAAACCCAGGCCUGUAUAACCUAGAAAAUACAUGUGUAACCUACGUAACCUAUGUAUGCUCUUCUGUUUUACCAGACAACAAUCAUACAAACCCAGGGCUGUAUAACCUAGAAAAUACAUCUGUAACCUACGUAACCUAUGUAUGCUCUUCUGUUUUACCAGACAACAAUCAUACAAACCCAGGCCUGUAUAACCUAGAAAAUACAUCUGUAACCUACGUAACCUAUGUAUGCUCUUCUGUUUUACCGGACAACAAUCAUACAAACCCAGGCCUGUAGCCAGGGGGGUGACUGGAAGGUUCACUCCAUUCUCAAAUAGAGAAUGGUCCUCAUAAUAAACUUAUCCCUCCCAAUGAAAAUUCUGGUACAAACUCUACAGUUAGAAUAAAGUUAUUUUUUUAUUGUGUGCAUGUGUAUGUGUAUACGGAUCUGCUUUUUGAAACACCUGUUCUAUGUAAAUCAACCAACGAAAUAUGCCAGAAAAUGUAGUUAACUAGUUUACUGUUGUUUAUGAGUCUGUUUUAGGACAGAAAAUAUGUUGUCAAUCAAUCAUAGGUCAUUUAUAUUAUUUAUUUAUUUAUUUAUUUAUUUAUUAAUGAAGCAACUUAAUUAACAUGAAACAUUUAAAAAGUGUAUAAAUAAAAACGAAAGUAGAGUACUUGAGUAAUUAUGAAGAUUCAAAUUAGAAUCCAUAAUGUUAUGUAUAGCAUAAAAAAUUACCCCAAAAGUUCUAACCACAUGUCAUGUAAAUUCAAUGAGCUGUGAACCUUUGCAGCAGGUGUAUAUGUUGACUAUUAUGCUUGCAAUGACGUGCAACGACAUUCUGCACCCGAUGUUUACAGAUACGAGCAAUAUAUAUAUUAAAAUGUGAUGAAUGAGUAAACGCAGCGGCGGUAAUCGCGGGCUCAAAAUCGAGGGUUUAUGAAGAAGAGAUAGAUGUUAUGUUUGUUAGUUUAAGGAAUUGAAAGCAAUUAGAAAUCUUGAACCUACAACCUUCAUUGGUCUUGGUCCUGGUUCAAAGGGAAAGUUAUAUACAGAGUAUCUACAGGGUUUUUCAAAGGUAUAUUGCUAUUUAGUGACCAACAGUAAUUUGAUGAGGAAGUCACGUAUUGUGUUACUGAAUGAAACGGAAAAAUGAAGAGAAAGAAGGAAAGCCCUUUUUUAAGAUUGCUGUGUUAGCUAACAGUAUUUAAAAUGACAGUUAAAGCAGUGAUAUAUUCGUCAGUAUUUUUAUCAUAGAAUGUGUUAUGUAUGAAUGGCUGAUUAUAGUAUUGCGUUGGUGACACUUAUUCUUCAAGUUAUCUAUAAAAUGUAAUGAGGACAUUGAUCUUUACAUUUAUUUAUUUAUUUAUUUAUUUAUUUAUUUAGGAAAUCUACAUAUGUGUAUGGUUAUUGUGUGUUAUGUUAUUCGUAAAGUAGGACGCUCACCUGUAAAUAGAUGGAUGAUAAAUUUCCAUACCCAAAUUAUUAAAGCACUUUUAUAGUUACUUGGACAUGGAAACUGUAAGAAAAAAAACAGUGAGUUAGUUGCUUAAAAUGAAUGAAAAUGGUUUAAAACAUUGAAAAUGCACUGGCUGGUGUUCAAUGUCAUAUAUUCAGUGAUAAAGAGAUUUUGUAAUUAAUGAGAACCCUAUUUGGGCAAAUGUACAUGAUUGGUUCCCAUUCAUCAUGGUAUUUAUAAAGAGUAAUCGUAACCAUGUAUAUAGACUUGAUAUAAGUUAUAGUCGCCCAACCUUGAGAUUGAAUUAUUCACUGUGUGUGUUUUUGAAUGUUUGUUUUGAAAGAGUAUUCAGUUGUUUUGAAGUCUAGAAGUAUUUGAAUUCUUGAGAAGACCACAGAGACCUCCAGCAUAAGUUAAGGUUAUUUUAAAUUUUUUGCAUUGAUGUAAUAACUUACGUUACUUUUCCAUAUGGUUGGUAUGUCAUUUUUAUCAUGUAAGGUUAGGCUCUUUUUGUGUAUGUGUUAAAUAUUGCAUAUAAGCUUGUUGAAAAUUUACAGGUUGAUUGAAUGGAACCUUUAUGAUUAUAGUUUUAUUUUAUAUUUGAUAUCUACUUUCAGUGUAUAUUGUUUUAGCAAGAGUUUGUCAAUAUGAAAGUUCUACAGUAUCCAAAUAUUAUCAUCCCACAUGCAAGGUAUGCAAUAUAAUCAUGGACCCUUCAUAAUUCAUGUUAUAGAUAUUUUGGUAGCUGUUUGCAUUUGUUAUGCAACUGCAGAUCCAUUAAAUGUAAUUAAGGAAAAAUCAACAGAAGAUAGAAAAUUCUUAGUAAGUUGUGUGUGUUGGGGUUGAUGAAUUGCAUAGCAUUUGAAUAUGGAAUAAUAUUAUAUUAUCUUUUGUCACAUAUUGAUAUCAUUGUCAGAUUCAAGGUAGAUGGGGGACGAUGGAUGGUGCCCCUCCCUUCCCUUUUCCUUUAUGAGAAAUACUGAAUUUUAUGCACUAGCAAUUUGAAACACCCACCCCAUGGUCCCAUGGAGGUCUGUGGUUAAUGUGAAGGUUUAGAGCAAUCUAGAACAAAAAUCUGUCUGUAGGGGGUGGGGGAAUUGACAGCUUUGGACUUUUCCAUACCGUAGGGACAAAUAAAUAACAUUAGAAAUUUAAAUGUACUUUGCAAUAGUCAUGUAGCAAACAAGAGCAAAAUGUGAAUAAAGAAAUAUGAAUAUGCCAUAUAGA